Molecule: ribosomal RNA, 465 nt
Filed under: Vreelandella stevensii
Lineage: Bacteria; Pseudomonadati; Pseudomonadota; Gammaproteobacteria; Oceanospirillales; Halomonadaceae
Description: partial 16S ribosomal RNA
Rfam family: Bacterial small subunit ribosomal RNA
Source: RNAcentral
CCUACGGGGGGCAGCAGUGGGGAAUAUUGGACAAUGGGGGGAACCCUGAUCCAGCCAUGCCGCGUGUGUGAAGAAGGCCCUCGGGUUGUAAAGCACUUUCAGUGAGGAAGAACGCCUGGUGGUUAAUACCUAUCAGGAAAGACAUCACUCACAGAAGAAGCACCGGCUAACUCCGUGCCAGCAGCCGCGGUAAUACGGAGGGUGCGAGCGUUAAUCGGAAUUACUGGGCGUAAAGCGCGCGUAGGUGGCUUGAUAAGCCGGUUGUGAAAGCCCCGGGCUCAACCUGGGAACGGCAUCCGGAACUGUCAAGCUAGAGUGCAGGAGAGGAAGGUAGAAUUCCCGGUGUAGCGGUGAAAUGCGUAGAGAUCGGGAGGAAUACCAGUGGCGAAGGCGGCCUUCUGGACUGACACUGACACUGAGGUGCGAAAGCGUGGGUAGCAAACAGGAUUAGAUACCCCGGUAGUC